Molecule: ribosomal RNA, 1456 nt
Filed under: Segatella copri
Lineage: Bacteria; Pseudomonadati; Bacteroidota; Bacteroidia; Bacteroidales; Prevotellaceae
Description: partial 23S ribosomal RNA
Rfam family: Bacterial large subunit ribosomal RNA
Source: RNAcentral
AAGAAAGUAAGAAAGGGCGUAUGGCGGAUGCCUAGGCUCACGGAGGCGAUGAAGGACGUGAUAAGCUGCGAUAAGCUUCGGGUAGGUGCAAAUAACCCUUGAUCCGAAGAUUUCCGAAUGGGACAACCUAGCCGUCUGAAGGACGGUUACUCUUACCAAGUAAGAGAGCUAACGCAGGGAACUGAAACAUCUUAGUACCUGCAGGAAGAGAAAAUAAAUGAAUGAUUCCCCCAGUAGUGGCGAGCGAACGGGGAACAGCCCAAACCAGUGGCGUCGCAAGGCGUGGCUGGGGUUGUAGGACCGCGACAUUGUAUGCAAAUCGUGAACAGAACACUUUGGAAAAUGUGACCAUAGACGGUGAUAGUCCAGUAUGUGAAGCGAAAUGCAGCAUAGCGGUAUCCUGAGUAACGCGGGACACGAGGAAUCCUGCGCGAAUCUGCCGGGACCAUCCGGUAAGGCUAAAUACUCCCGUGAGACCGAUAGCGAACGAGUACUGUGAAGGAAAGGUGAAAAGAACCCCGAGCAGGGGAGUGAAAUAGUUCCUGAAACCAUACGCCUACAAGCGGUCGGAGCAUCGUAAGAUGUGACGGCGUGCCUUUUGCAUAAUGAUCCUACGAGUUACCGUCACUGGCGAGGUUGAGUGUCAUGAGACACGUAGCCGCAGUGAAAGCGAGCCUGAAGAGGGCGCACAGUCAGUGGGGGUAGACGCGAAACCAAGUGAUCUACACUUGGCCAGGAUGAAGUCCCGGUAACACGGGAUGGAGGUCCGCACCAAUAAGCGUUGAAAAGCUUCUGGAUGAGCCGAGUGUAGGAGUGAAAGGCCAAUCAAACUUGGAGAUAGCUCGUACUCCCCGAAAGGCAUUUAGGUGCCGCGUCGGAUGGUCACCGUGAGAGGUAGAGCGACCGAUAGGACAAGAGGGCUUCACCGCCUAUCGAGUCCUGACGAACUCCGAAUGCUCACGGUCUGCAGUCCGGCAGUAAGGGGGCGGGUGCUAAGGUCCGUCCCCGAGAGGAGAAGAAUCCAGACCGCCGUCUAAGGUCCCGGAGUUCUGCCUGAGUUAGUCUAACGAAGUCUGGUCCCUAUGACAGCUAGGAUGUUGGCUUGGAAGCAGCCAUUCAUUCAAAGAGUGCGUAACAGCUCACUAGUCGAGGGUCCGGGCAUGGAUAAUAAUCGGGUAUAAGGCAGACACCGAAGGCGCGGGAUAGCAAUUAUAAAAGUAUCGGUAGGGGAGCAUACUCACAGCGUCGAAUGGUGUACGUAAGUUAUCCUGGAGCGGUGAGUAAAGCAAAUGUAGGAAUAAGUAACGAUAAGGAGGGUUAGAUUCCCUCCCGCUGUAAGACCAAGGUUUCCCGGGCAAUGCCAAUCAGCCCGGGGUCAGUCGGGUCCUAAGUCUAAGCCGAACGGCGAUGGCGAUGGCAGAGACGGUUAAUAUUCCGUCACUGCCGCAUGGGGCGA